UACGGAGGUGGCAAGCGUUGUUCGGAAUUACUGGGCGUAAAGGGCGCGUAGGCGGUUGGGCAAGUCAGAUGUGAAAGCCCCGAGCUUAACUCGGGAACUGCAUCUGAAACUGCUUUACUUGAGUCCUGGAUGGGGUAGUGGAAUUCCCAGUGUAGCGGUGAAAUGCGUAGAUAUUGGGAGGAACACCUGCGGCGAAGGCGGCUACCUGGACAGUGACUGACGCUGAGGCGCGAAAGCUAGGGGAGCGAACGGG
RNAcentral lists this ribosomal RNA (253 nucleotides) under uncultured bacterium. RNAcentral's name for it is "partial 16S ribosomal RNA". It matches the Rfam family "Bacterial small subunit ribosomal RNA", at positions 524 to 776 of the family's 1533-position model. The record is from RNAcentral.